Molecule: long non-coding RNA, 1133 nt
Organism: Mercurialis annua (annual mercury)
Lineage: Eukaryota; Viridiplantae; Streptophyta; Magnoliopsida; Malpighiales; Euphorbiaceae
Exons: 3
Source: RefSeq, a predicted model, not a curated record
ACUUAUUAUUAUAUAUAGGAACCACGGGAUUUUACUGUUCGAGCAAAAAUCGAAAAGAUUCAAAGUGAAUUUGGGUGGUUCUACAUUGCUUGCAACAGGUGUCAAUCUAAAUUAAAGAAGGAAGAAAUUACAUUUACAUGCGACAAUUGCGAUAAAAAAUUGCAUUUACCCAUCAUGAGAUACAAAAUACAAGUGGAAGUCAAUGAUAAUACAACGACAACAACGUUUGUAAUAUUCGACAAUGACGCAAAGAAACUUCUAAAUAUGACUACAGAAAAAUUGUCUAUAAAACUCCAAAAAGAUUUUAAUAUUCCAAAAGAGUUACAGAAUUUAAUCGGAAAAUGGUUCCUUUUAAAAUAAACGUGAAUGAAUGGAAUUUGAAAAAAAGAUACCAAAUUUUUAGUGUGAUAAGAAUAUUUUUGGAGGAGCAAGAAAACCAAAAAUAAAAAUCACAACAGCAAACAGUUCAGAAUAUCAAGAAGGAAAAGGAAACAAUCUCAACGGAAACAGACAAAGAAUCAAAUUCAGAGACUCAAAGUGAAGAAAAUUUAGAAAAUGAUUUCGAAAGUGAUGAGGACAAAGCUGGCAAAGAAAUAAAUGGAGCUGUAAAUAGUCAAAAAAGAAGUCGAAAUCGAACAUAUAUCCAAAGAAGAAUUUCAUUACAAAUCAAAAUAUAAAAGACGGAAGAUGAGAGUUGCCAAAUAAAAGUGGCAUUGGUUACAACGUUUUUUUUACAUUUUUUUAUGAACUUAAUAAUUUAUUUUCUUUCAACAAAAUUAAUCGUGUAUAUUUUAAUUUAUUAAUUAUGAAAGUUAAAAAUCCGAAAAGUUAAAUGUUCAUAUGAAUGUUGAUAUUAAAUUUUCGGUAGAAAGAUUGAAUUUUUAUUCCUGGAUGAUUAGAUUCCCACGAUUGUAAAUGUACGAAGAAACAAAUCAUCGUUAAAAUAUAAAUUGUCCAUCUCUAACUAAACUGAUUUAGUAAACAUAAAGAAAAAAAUAGACAAAAUUUCAAAAUUUGAUGAAUAUCGUAAAGUAUUGAGAAGUAUGGUACCUGAACCACAUUUCAUUAUCAGAAGUAACUGCAAACAAAUUUGUAGAGAAACAAAAGAAGGCCAUUGAAGAGAUAAACAUCAA